UCCCCAGUAGCUCAGCGGUAGAGUAGGUGACUGUUAAUCACUUGGUCAUUGGUUCGAAUCCAGUCUGGGGAG
This 72-nucleotide transfer RNA is filed under the name Planctomycetota bacterium. RNAcentral's name for it is "tRNA-Asn". It matches the Rfam family "tRNA". Rfam says of the family: Transfer RNA (tRNA) molecules are approximately 80 nucleotides in length. Their secondary structure includes four short double-helical elements and three loops (D, anti-codon, and T loops). Lineage: Bacteria; Pseudomonadati; Planctomycetota. The record is from RNAcentral.